This 43-nucleotide unclassified non-coding RNA is filed under the name Pseudorhizobium banfieldiae. Its description in RNAcentral is "Rhizobium sp. NT-26 SNORD72". The record is from RNAcentral. Lineage: Bacteria; Pseudomonadati; Pseudomonadota; Alphaproteobacteria; Hyphomicrobiales; Rhizobiaceae.
AGGCGAUCCACGGGAGUGAAUCGCCUCGAGAAGCAGAUCGCCG